Molecule: ribosomal RNA, 2863 nt
Filed under: Pseudorhodobacter sp. E13
Lineage: Bacteria; Pseudomonadati; Pseudomonadota; Alphaproteobacteria; Rhodobacterales; Paracoccaceae
Description: 23S ribosomal RNA
Rfam family: Bacterial large subunit ribosomal RNA
Source: RNAcentral
GAUCAAAUCAAGCGCGAAAAGGGCGUUUGGUGGAUGCCUAGGCAGUAAGAGGCGAUGAAGGACGUGAUACCCUGCGUUAAGCUGUGGUGAGCCGGGAAUAGGCUUUGACCCACAGAUCUCCGAAUGGGGAAACCCACCUGACAGUUCGUUAUAAUUGCACCUGAAGUAAUUUGGGGGCAGCUUAUAAUGGGCUGAAACAGGUACUUUAAUCCUGAAUACAUAGGGGUUUUAGAGCAAACCCGGGGAACUGAAACAUCUAAGUACCCGGAGGAAAGGAAAUCAAUAGAGACUCCGCUAGUAGUGGCGAGCGAACGCGGACCAGCCGAGCCCUGAAGAGUGAGUAGAAUGGUCUGGAAAGGCCAGCAAUAUAGGGUGACAGCCCCGUAUACGAAGCUCCAAGGGACAUAUUAAGUAGGGCGGGACACGUGAAAUCCUGUUCGAAGAUCGGGGGACCACCCCCGAAGGCUAAGUACUCCUUACUGACCGAUAGCGAACCAGUACCGUGAGGGAAAGGUGAAAAGCACCCCGACAAGGGGAGUGAAACAGUACCUGAAACCGGACGCCUACAAGCAGUCGGAGGGACAUCAGUCCUGACGGCGUACCUUUUGUAUAAUGGGUCAACGACUUGGUCUCACGAGCAAGCUUAAGCCGAUAGGUGUAGGCGCAGCGAAAGCGAGUCUUAAAAGGGCGACAGAGUACGUGGGAUCAGACCCGAAACCAAGUGAUCUAGCCAUGUGCAGGAUGAAGGUAAGGUAACACUUACUGGAGGUCCGAACCAACACCCGUUGAAAAGGGUCUGGAUGACGUGUGGCUAGGGGUGAAAGGCCAAUCAAACUUGGAGAUAGCUGGUUCUCCGCGAAAGCUAUUUAGGUAGCGCCUCGGACGAAUACCAUUGGGGGUAGAGCACUACAUGGAUGAUGGGGGCCCACAGCCUUACUGAGUCUAAGUAAACUCCGAAUACCAAUGAGUACUAUCCGGGAGACACACGGCGGGUGCUAACGUCCGUCGUGAAGAGGGAAACAACCCUGACCUGCAGCUAAGGCCCCUAAUUCGUAGUUAAGUGGGAAAGCAUGUGGGACGGCCAAAACAACCAGGAGGUUGGCUUAGAAGCAGCCAUCCUUUAAAGAUAGCGUAACAGCUCACUGGUCUAGAUAAGCUGUCCUGCGGCGAAGAUGUAACGGGGCUCAAACUACGAGCCGAAGCUCAGGAUGUGCAGCAAUGCACGUGGUAGCGGAGCGUUCUGUGAUAUAGAACGCUGUGUAUUUAUGCUCAGCCUGUCUGAGUGUAACAUACACAAUGUUCUUUCUGUGAAGCCGGGCUGUAAGGCAUCCGGUGGAGAGAUCAGAAGCGAGAAUGUUGACAUGAGUAGCGACAAAGAGGGUGAGAGACCCUCUCGCCGAAAGUCCAAGGGUUCCUGCUUAAAGCUAAUCUGAGCAGGGUAAGCCGGCCCCUAAGGCGAGGCCGAAAGGCGUAGUCGAUGGGAACCAGGUUAAUAUUCCUGGGCCGUGAGAUGGUGACGGAUCGCGAAGGUAGUUUGCCCUUAUCGGAUUGGGUGGGCUGCUGAGUGGUCCCUGGAAAUAGCCUCUCUAUAAGACCGUACCCUAAACCGACACAGGUGGACUGGUAGAGAAUACCAAGGCGCUUGAGAGAACCACAUCAAAGGAACUCGGCAAAAUGCCUCCGUAAGUUCGCGAGAAGGAGGCCCCGUCUGUAGGCAACUAUGGGCGGGGGGCACAAACUAGGGGGUGGCGACUGUUUACUUAAAACACAGGGCUCUGCGAAGUCGUAAGACGACGUAUAGGGUCUGACGCCUGCCCGGUGCUGGAAGGUUAAAAGGAGGGGUGCAAGCUCUGAAUUGAAGCCCCAGUAAACGGCGGCCGUAACUAUAACGGUCCUAAGGUAGCGAAAUUCCUUGUCGGGUAAGUUCCGACCUGCACGAAUGGCGUAACGAUCUCCCCGCUGUCUCUGAUGUGGACUCAGCGAAAUUGAACUGUGUGUCAAGAUGCACACUUCCCGCGGUUAGACGGAAAGACCCCAUGCACCUUUACUAUAGCUUCGCACUGGCAUCAGGAUUGAGAUGUGCAGGAUAGGUGGUAGGCAUUGAAUCGGGGACGCCAGUCCUCGUGGAGCCUUCCUUGAGAUACCACCCUUCUUACUCUUGAUGUCUAACCGCGGCCCGUUAUCCGGGUCCGGGACCCUGCGUGGUGGGUAGUUUGACUGGGGCGGUCGCCUCCUAAAGUGUAACGGAGGCGCGCGAAGGUUGGCUCAGAGCGGUCGGAAAUCGCUCGUUGAGUGCAAUGGCAGAAGCCAGCCUGACUGCAAGACUGACAAGUCGAGCAGAGACGAAAGUCGGCCAUAGUGAUCCGGUGGUCCCAAGUGGGAGGGCCAUCGCUCAACGGAUAAAAGGUACGCUGGGGAUAACAGGCUGAUGAUGCCCAAGAGUCCAUAUCGACGGCAUCGUUUGGCACCUCGAUGUCGGCUCAUCUCAUCCUGGGGCUGGAGCAGGUCCCAAGGGUACGGCUGUUCGCCGUUUAAAGAGGUACGUGAGCUGGGUUUAGAACGUCGUGAGACAGUUCGGUCCCUAUCUGCCGUGGGUGUAGGAGACUUGAGAAGAGUUGCCCCUAGUACGAGAGGACCGGGGUGAACGUUCCACUGGUGGACCAGUUAUCAUGCCAAUGGUAGUGCUGGGUAGCUAUGAACGGACAGGAUAACCGCUGAAGGCAUCUAAGCGGGAAGCCCCCUUCAAAACAAGGUCUCCCUUGAGAGCCGUGGAAGACCACCACGUCGAUAGGCCAGAGAUGUAAGUGCAGUAAUGCAUUCAGUUGACUGGUACUAAUUGCUCGAUAGGCUUGAUUUGAUCCAG